AAAGGGAAAAAAGAAGAGUUCGAAAGAGUAAUCCCGGUGAAAGAACACAAACAAUUAUUGUAUCUUUAAUAACAAGUUACUGGAUCAAGACAACUUGUAUCAUUCUGAAAUAUUGAUCAUAUUGUACAGAAGAGGACAGACAAAAGUCUCUACAGCAAGAUAUAUGUAUCAAAGAAUCGAUGGCACUAUGCAGCAACAGAGCAAGACAAGAAAAGUACACUGAAAUUUAGCUGGAACAUCUUGAAGAAUUGACUUUUAAAAUAAUAGGCCGUGUAAAGCAUUUUAACUUUUAGUUAUCGCCACAAGUGUGUUUGGUACACGAAUGCUGAUGAUACAGUGGUACACAUACCACUAAUAAAUGAGUUCUUGUGUGGCAAGGACAGAAAGACAUUUAAUAGCAGAAAUACAAGGCAGGAAAUAUAAUUUUAUUGGGAUCUGGUUAGAAAGAAAAAAAUGGAACAUUUAAAUUUGAAGGGAAAAAUUGAAGGAAGGAAAGCAAGAGGAAGACCAAGUGCUAUGAUUAUAGAUAACAUUGCAAGGGAACUCAAACUUGCUGUUGAGGAUGUUUUAAGAGUUGCUGAAGAUUGAAUUAUUUGGAGAGCAUGGCACAUAAAGAUGAGGAUUACAAAAACAUGAACCAUGUAACCAUGACUGCGGGUAAUUGCUAAAUAAAAAAUAAAUUUUCUCAAUAUUUAUGGUUAUAAUUUUGAGGUAGUAGCUUAUACUAAUACUCUACUUAAUUUCCAUUUCUUUUUGUGGUUCCUAUCCUGUAAAGCAAUAGGAACCUUCGAAAUGGCCUGGAUGUUUGUCUGACGUUG
Molecule: long non-coding RNA, 818 nt
Organism: Anneissia japonica
Lineage: Eukaryota; Metazoa; Echinodermata; Crinoidea; Comatulida; Comatulidae
Exons: 3
Source: RefSeq, a predicted model, not a curated record